GGGGGCGGUCCUCGGAAGCCCAGGGCGCCCACGGCGUCUGUCCCAUCCCAUCCCAUCCCAUCCCAUCCCAUCCCAUCCCAUCCCAUCCCAUCCCAUCCCAUCCCAUCCCAUCCCAUCCCAUCCCAUCCCCAUAACCCCGCGCAGCCCUCGCCGCAGAGAAGCCCCGACCUGGGCGCACGGCCUGGCACGAAGGGAGGGCGUGGGGACGCUUCGCCCGCGCAUCUCCUGUCUUCCGCCAGCCGGUUGCGGACCCGCCCUUGGCGGUGCUCCCCGCGCCUCUUUCCCCAGUUUCGGAGAGCUGAGUGGGAGGACCAGGGGGAGGGAGCCAGCGGCGCGGGCCCAGGGCAGCGGGUCACGGGGCGCUGGGUGCCCUUUGGACUCGAAGGGCCUGUGCAGUCGGGGCGGGGAGGGAGUAGGGUGGCCCGGCCAGGGGCGCCACCGGCAGCCAGCCCCUGAGCCGAGGCCCCGCUGCCCGGUCGGGGACUCCCUCCAACCACCUCUCCUGGGUAUUGGGCACUGGCGUGCACUGGUGUUUAGGAGGAUGCGAGGGCGCCGACCCGGUCCCCCUUUCCCGGCUGGCUGGCCACCGUCCACCUCGGCAAUGGCCGGGAGCUCCUGGCGUGGCUUCCGUUCCCGGGCAGGUUGGCCAAGAGCUGCCAGGUGCGGAGGCCCGGCCCGCGGUGUCGCCCCACCCUGGGUCGUCCCCCCUGCGGCCCUACAGCACCGCCGCGGGCAGCACUGGAACCUGGAUGGCUCCCCGGAGCGCGGCAGAUCGAAUCCAUCUUCCUGUCCCUUUGAUGCUUACAGCGCGCCGGACCCAGGCGAGGCCUGUGCCUGCACCGCAGACCCGCCUCCGGGAGGCCGGCACCCAGCGCCUUGGGGGUCACGCUCUGACGUCCUCCAGGCCCAGAGGGGGCCUUGGAUCCAGCUGGUCUGAGAUGGGGGCUGCUCAGUGCUGGGCGGCGCUCCCCAGCGUCCAGCCUUGGGGGCCUGCACCCGGGAGAGGAGGCUGUGGCUUGGGGUUCGGGCCGGGGCUUUCUUCCCGAAUGGAGGCCGCUGGGGGCACCUGGGCGCCGGAG
Molecule: long non-coding RNA, 1079 nt
Filed under: Canis lupus dingo (dingo)
Lineage: Eukaryota; Metazoa; Chordata; Mammalia; Carnivora; Canidae
Description: lncRNA (ENSCAFG00020008205.1)
Source: RNAcentral